UACAGAGGUCUCAAGCGUUGUUCGGAUUCAUUGGGCGUAAAGGGUGCGUAGGUGGCAUGGUAAGUCGGAUGUGAAAUCCCGGGGCUCAACCCCGGAACUGCAUUCGAUACUGCUGCGCUAGAGUACUGGAGAGGAGAUUGGAAUUUACGGUGUAGCAGUGAAAUGCGCAGAUAUCAGGAGGAACACCGAUGGCGAAGGCAGGUCUCUGGGCAUUAACUGACGCUGAGGAGCGAAAGCAUGGGGAGCGAACAGG
This 253-nucleotide ribosomal RNA is filed under the name uncultured bacterium. Its description in RNAcentral is "partial 16S ribosomal RNA". It matches the Rfam family "Bacterial small subunit ribosomal RNA", at positions 524 to 776 of the family's 1533-position model. The record is from RNAcentral.